Molecule: ribosomal RNA, 328 nt
Filed under: uncultured eukaryote
Lineage: Eukaryota
Description: partial 18S ribosomal RNA
Rfam family: Eukaryotic small subunit ribosomal RNA
Source: RNAcentral
CCCUUAGAUGUCCUGGGCCGCACGCGCGCUACACUGAUGCAUGCAACGAGUUUCACUUUUCCUGGGUCGAGAGGCCCGGGUAAUCUGUUGAACGUGCAUCGUGAUAGGGAUAGAUCAUUGCAAUUAUUGAUCUUGAACGAGGAAUUCCUAGUAAACGCGAGUCAUCAGCUCGCAUUGAUUACGUCCCUGCCCUUUGUACACACCGCCCGUCGCACCUACCGAUUGAAUGUUUCGGUGAAGAUUCCGGAUAGGACUUUUUUGAUUUAUUUCAAUUCUGUCUUAAAAGCUAUCUAAACCUCAACAUUUAGAGGAAGGUGAAGUCGUAACA